GGCCUCAUCGUCUGAUGAUCUUGCUAAAAUGCAGAUUCUGAUUUGGUGGGGCCUAAAAUUCUGCAUUUCUAACAAGUUCUCAAGUGCUGCUGAU
RNAcentral lists this microRNA precursor (94 nucleotides) under Marmota monax (woodchuck). It matches the Rfam family "mir-544 microRNA precursor family". Lineage: Eukaryota; Metazoa; Chordata; Mammalia; Rodentia; Sciuridae. The record is from RNAcentral.